Vidua chalybeata is the source of this 1140-nucleotide long non-coding RNA. RefSeq lists it as uncharacterized. The transcript has 2 exons. Lineage: Eukaryota; Metazoa; Chordata; Aves; Passeriformes; Viduidae. The record is from RefSeq and is a predicted model, not a curated record.
GCCCUUGGUGGCCCCUUGGGGGCAGGCUGGCUUUUAGGGUGAUUUUCAGGAUGACUCGUAGGAUAAUUUAUGGGGCAGUCCUUGUAACUGCAAGGCAGCAUUUCUGUCGGUCCCUCCCUUUGUGACUGUAUAGGAGGGACACCAGGGGCUGGCAGACCACGUCAGCACAGCCUGACAGCAGAGCCCUGUAGCAGGAGACAGGCUGUCACGGGGACGCUGAAUGUACAAGCUCUGUUCCCGGCCCCAGGGAGGUGUGAGGCUGGAGUCCACGGCACAGACUUCAGCUGCUGGAACUCAAGCCUGUGUAUGGUCAGGGUUCAAAAUUUGUCACCACGUGUUACAGGGUCAGGCUAGAGUCCUACUUAUGGCAUAGUUUACAAUGAGAAGGAGCCUUAUGUGCUGAAGGAUAGGCCCCCACCUUGUGAUCCUUAAUUUUAAAGACCCCAGCAUCAGGGCAAUUUUCUUGAGUAACUUAUUUUAGAGUAGAAAUUAUCAGUUUCUCGAGGUCGGGAUUGAAGGCACUUGAGAUGGUAUUUCAUGUUCGGACUCAGGUGUUUAUUAUUUCUUAUCCAUGUUACAGUCUCACUACCACUUUUUCAUUAGCAAAGCACAAAAUGGCUAACUAAUACUUGUUACAAGGUCUUUUAAUACUAAACUAUCCAAUUAAGAAUGGACAUCUAGAUUAUUUUCCUUUUUAACCCAAUAACUGAUCCCUCGAAGCCUGCAAUGCAGACUUUUGUGUCCAAUCACAAAACAUCACCCAAACCCAUGAAGAAGAAGGAAGAAGAAGGUGAAGAAGAAGGAAGAAGUCUUCUCCACAGCCUCAGGUCAAAUGCAGUGUUCUCUUGUGGGUCUGUGCCUUUCAGCACAGAAAGUCUAAAAUUCUCAGCAUCCAGGAUUCCAACAGAAAUCUCCUGGUGAGAAGGACAUACAUGCUGACUCUGCAGAAGUUCUUUGCUGGGUAACUUAAGUAAAGGAGGGGCAAAAAGUCAUGGUACUGUAUGAUCUCUUCUAAAAUGGUCCAGGGUUGCAAAUUUGAAUCAAGUCUUGCUGGCUAAGGAGGCUGUUUGACUUGUAAAUCAGUUUCUGUUUACAGCUGCUGAUGACAGAUCCCACACUAUUAAAGAUGAUGUCAUUUCA